GCGAGAAUAGCUCAACGGUAGAGUGUAGCUUUGCCAUAGCUGAGGUUGGGGGUUCGAUUCCCCUUUCUCGCU
This 72-nucleotide transfer RNA is filed under the name Chloropicon maureeniae. RNAcentral's name for it is "tRNA-Gly". It matches the Rfam family "tRNA". From Rfam's summary of the family: Transfer RNA (tRNA) molecules are approximately 80 nucleotides in length. Their secondary structure includes four short double-helical elements and three loops (D, anti-codon, and T loops). The record is from RNAcentral. Lineage: Eukaryota; Viridiplantae; Chlorophyta; Chloropicophyceae; Chloropicales; Chloropicaceae.